Molecule: ribosomal RNA, 433 nt
Filed under: uncultured bacterium
Lineage: Bacteria
Description: partial 16S ribosomal RNA
Rfam family: Bacterial small subunit ribosomal RNA
Source: RNAcentral
AACGAACGCUGGCGGCAUGCCUAACACAUGCAAGUCGAACGAGACCUUCGGGUCUAGUGGCGUGCGGGUGCGUAACGCGUGGGAACCUGCCCUUAGGUUCGGAAUAACUCCCCGAAAGGGGUGCUAAUACCGGAUAAUGUCUUCGGACCAAAGAUUUAUCGCCUUUGGAUGGGCCCGCGUUGGAUUAGCUAGUUGGUAGGGUAAAAGCCUACCAAGGCGACGAUCCAUAGCUGGUCUGAGAGGAUGAUCAGCCACACUGGGACUGAGACACGGCCCAGACUCCUACGGGAGGCAGCAGUGGGGAAUAUUGGACAAUGGGCGAAAGCCUGAUCCAGCAAUGCCGCGUGAGUGAUGAAGGCCUUAGGGUUGUAAAGCUCUUUUACCCGGGAUGAUAAUGACAGUACCGGGAGAAUAAGCGCCGGCUAACUCCGUG